Molecule: ribosomal RNA, 497 nt
Filed under: uncultured bacterium
Lineage: Bacteria
Description: partial 16S ribosomal RNA
Rfam family: Bacterial small subunit ribosomal RNA
Source: RNAcentral
GAUGAACGCUGGCGGCGUGCCUAAUACAUGCAAGUCGAGCGAACAGACGAGGAGCUUGCUCCUCUGACGUUAGCGGCGGACGGGUGAGUAACACGUGGAUAACCUACCUAUAAGACUGGGAUAACUUCGGGAAACCGGAGCUAAUACCGGAUAAUAUAUUGUACCGCAUGGUUCAAUAGUGAAAGACGGUUUUGCUGUCACUUAUAGAUGGAUCCGCGCCGCAUUAGCUAGUUGGUAAGGUAACGGCUUACCAAGGCAACGAUGCGUAGCCGACCUGAGAGGGUGAUCGGCCACACUGGAACUGAGACGCGGUCCAGACUCCUACGGGAGGCAGCAGUAGGGAAUCUUCCGCAAUGGGCGAAAGCCUGACGGAGCAACGCCGCGUGAGUGAUGAAGGUCUUCGGAUCGUAAAACUCUGUUAUUAGGGAAGAACAAAUGUGUAAGUAACUAUGCACGUCUUGACGGUACCUAAUCAGAAAGCCACGGCUAACUACGUG